Molecule: ribosomal RNA, 253 nt
Filed under: uncultured bacterium
Lineage: Bacteria
Description: partial 16S ribosomal RNA
Rfam family: Bacterial small subunit ribosomal RNA
Source: RNAcentral
UACAGAGACCUCGAGCGUUAUCCGGAAUUAUUGGGCGUAAAGGGUCCGCAGGCGGCCCGUUAAGUCAUGUGUCAAAUCUUUGGGCUCAACCCAGAGGCUGCGCGUGAUACUAUCAGGCUAGAGACUGGGAGAGGCAUAUGGAAUUGCCGGUGUAGCGGUAAAAUGCGUUAAUAUCGGCAAGAACACCAAAGGCGAAGGCAAUAUGCUGGAACAGUUCUGACGCUCAGGGACGAAAGCGUGGGGAGCGAAUGGG